This 425-nucleotide ribosomal RNA is filed under the name uncultured bacterium. Its description in RNAcentral is "partial 16S ribosomal RNA". It matches the Rfam family "Bacterial small subunit ribosomal RNA", at positions 354 to 796 of the family's 1533-position model. The record is from RNAcentral.
GUGGGGAAUAUUGGGCAAUGGGCGAAAGCCUGACCCAGCAACGCCGCGUGAAGGAAGAAGGUUUUCGGAUCGUAAACUUCUAUCCUUGGUGAAGAUAAUGACGGUAGCCAAGAAGGAAGCCCCGGCUAACUACGUGCCAGCAGCCGCGGUAAUACGUAGGGGGCAAGCGUUGUCCGGAAUGAUUGGGCGUAAAGGGCGCGUAGGCGGCCCGGUAAGUCUGAAGUGAAAGUCCUGCUUUUAAGGUGGGAAUUGCUUUGGAUACUGUCGGGCUUGAGUGCAGGAGAGGUAAGCGGAAUUCCCGGUGUAGCGGUGAAAUGCGUAGAGAUCGGGAGGAACACCAGUGGCGAAGGCGGCUUACUGGACUGUAACUGACGCUGAGGCGCGAAAGUGUGGGGAGCAAACAGGAUUAGAUAUCCCGGUAGUCC